Molecule: ribosomal RNA, 1334 nt
Filed under: Paraleuctra cercia
Lineage: Eukaryota; Metazoa; Arthropoda; Insecta; Plecoptera; Leuctridae
Description: 16S ribosomal RNA
Rfam family: Bacterial large subunit ribosomal RNA (bases 887-1253)
Source: RNAcentral
UAAAUAUUUAUUUACUUUUUUAAUUUGAUAAUAUUUUUAUUUUAAUAAAAUCAUUUUUAUUUAGUGAUGUUUUGGUAUAGGAUAUAGAAGAAAUUUAUAGAGUGGUAGUUGAUGUGUAAUGUGAUUGAAUAGUGAAAUAUAUUGAAAAAUUAUUUUUAUGAAAGUAGAUUUUAUUGAUCGUACCUUGUGUAUCAGGGUUUAUCAAAAUUUUAAUAAGGAAUUUAUUUAUCCCGAUUUAAAGAGAGCUAAUUAAGUAUGUUAGUUAAUGUGGAAUAAUUAUUAAUAAUACAUAAUUAGGAAUGAAACGUUAUUCGUUCUUUAAGAUAUCUGGUUUUUUAAGAAAUGAAUUUAAUUCAGAUGGUACUAAUAAUAUAAUUAAAUUUGUUAAUUGUUUUAGUGGUAUUAUUAAUAUAGUGGGGGAUGAGCUUCAUUAUAUUUUUUAUAAAAGUUAAUUGAUUUAAAAAAAUUUGUAGGCUUAGAGUUAGCCAUCAAUGAAAGGAUGUUAUAAUUUAUUUUUUUUUAAAAUAAUUUUCAUAAUUUUUAAAUAUUUCAUUAAAAUGUUUUUUUUAAUUAUAAUAAUUUAGCAAUAAUGAUAAAAUUAGUAUAUAUGAUUGUUUUAAAUUAAAUUUAAUGUAAGGUUACGUUAAGGAACUAGGCAAUUAAAUGCUCGCCUGUUUAACAAAAACAUGUCUUCUUGUGAAUAAUUUGAAGUCUGACCUGCCCACUGACAUUUUACGUUGAAGGGCCGCGGUAUUUUGACCGUGCAAAGGUAGCAUAAUCAUUAGUCUUUUCAUUGAAGGCUUGUAUGAAUGGUUGGACGAGGCAUUGACUGUCUCCGUGUAAAUGAUUUUAGAAUUUAACUUUUAAGUUAAAAGGCUUAAAUAUGGUUAAAGGACGAGAAGACCCUAUAGAGCUUUACUUUUGAUGCUCAUUAUAUAUUUAGUGGUUUUUUUAUAUUGGGUAAAUGAAAGUUUUGUUGGGGUGACAAGAAGAUGGAAUAAACUCUUUUUAGGUUAGAACCAUUGAUGAAUGAUUUGUUGAUCCAUUAUUAGUGAUUAUAAGACUAAGUUACCUUAGGGAUAACAGCGUAAUCUUUUUCGAGAGUUCUUAUCGACAAAAAGGAUUGCGACCUCGAUGUUGGAUUAAGAGUAAUUUUGGGUGUAGAUGUUCAAAGUUUAGGUCUGUUCGACCUUUAAAUUCUUACAUGAUCUGAGUUCAGACCGGCGUAAGCCAGGUCGGUUUCUAUCCUUAAUAGGAAGAUGGUAUUUUAGUACGAAAGGACCAAAUACUGGAAAUAUUGUUUUAUGUUUAAUGAAUUAAAUUAAUAUUAGGUU